GUCUCAGUUCGGAUUGGAGUCUGCAACCCGACUCCAUGAAGCUGGAUUCGCUAGUAAUCGCGCAUCAGCCACGGCGCGGUGAAUACGUUCCCGGGCCUUGUACACACCGCCCGUCAAGCCAUGGAAGCCGGGGGGUGCCUGAAGUGCGCUGCCGCAAGGAGCGCCCUAGGGUAAAACCGGUGACUGGGGCUAAGUCGUAACAAGGUAAC
This 209-nucleotide ribosomal RNA is filed under the name uncultured bacterium. RNAcentral's name for it is "partial 16S ribosomal RNA". It matches the Rfam family "Bacterial small subunit ribosomal RNA", at positions 1285 to 1500 of the family's 1533-position model. The record is from RNAcentral.